GACGAACGCUGGCGGCGUGCCUAAUACAUGCAAGUCGAACGAGAGCGACCGGUGCUUGCACUGGUCAAUCUAGUGGCGAACGGGUGAGUAACACGUGGGUAACCUGCCCAUCAGAGGGGGAUAACAUCCGGAAACGGAUGCUAACACCGCAUAGGUCUUCGAGCCGCAUGGCUUGAAGAGGAAAAGCGGCGCAAGCUUCUGCUGAUGGAUGGACCCGCGGUGCAUUAGCUAGUUGGUGAGGUAACGGCUCACCAAGGCCGUGAUGCAUAGCCGACCUGAGAGGGUGAUCGGCCACAUUGGGACUGAGACACGGCCCAAACUCCUACGGGAGGCAGCAGUAGGGAAUCUUCCGCAAAGGACGCAAGUCUGACGGAGCAACGCCGCGUGAGUGAAGAAGGUUUUCGGAUCGUAAAACUCUGUUGUUAGAGAAGAACAAGUGCUAGAGUAACUGUUAGCGCCUUGACGGUAUCUAACCAGAAAGCCACGGCUAACUACGUG
RNAcentral lists this ribosomal RNA (498 nucleotides) under uncultured bacterium. RNAcentral's name for it is "partial 16S ribosomal RNA". It matches the Rfam family "Bacterial small subunit ribosomal RNA", at positions 28 to 507 of the family's 1533-position model. The record is from RNAcentral.